This is a transfer RNA of 72 nucleotides. It matches the Rfam family "tRNA". From Rfam's summary of the family: Transfer RNA (tRNA) molecules are approximately 80 nucleotides in length. Their secondary structure includes four short double-helical elements and three loops (D, anti-codon, and T loops). Further hydrogen bonds mediate the characteristic L-shaped molecular structure. tRNAs have two regions of fundamental functional importance: the anti-codon, which is responsible for specific mRNA codon recognition, and the 3' end, to which the tRNAs corresponding amino acid is attached (by aminoacyl-tRNA synthetases). tRNAs cope with the degeneracy of the genetic code in two manners: having more than one tRNA (with a specific anti-codon) for a particular amino acid; and 'wobble' base-pairing, i.e. permitting non-standard base-pairing at the 3rd anti-codon position.
GGAGCAUUCGUAUAAUGGAAAAUAUACUUGACUGUCUAUCAAGAGAUAGGAGUUCAAUUCUCCUAUGUUCCG